Molecule: ribosomal RNA, 498 nt
Filed under: uncultured Glomeromycotina
Lineage: Eukaryota; Fungi; Glomeromycota
Description: partial small subunit ribosomal RNA
Rfam family: Eukaryotic small subunit ribosomal RNA
Source: RNAcentral
CCAAUAGCGUAUAUUAAAGUUGCUGCAGUUAAAAAGCUCGUAGUUGAAUUUCGGGACCAAUAUGUCGGUCGUGCCUCGGUACGUACUGGCAUCGUUGGUUUCUCCCUUCUGAAGAACCAUGAUGUCAUUUAUUUGGUGUCGUGGGGAAUCAGGACUGUUACUUUGAAAAAUUUAGAGUGUUUAAAGCAGGCUCGCGCUUGAAUACAUUAGCAUGGAAUAAUGAAAUAGGACGUUUGAUUCUAUUUUGUUGGUUUCUAGGAUCGACGUAAUGAUUAAUAGGGAUAGUUGGGGGCAUAGUAUUCAAUUGUCAGAGGUGAAAUUCUUGGAUUUAUUGAAGACUAACUACUGCGAAAGCAUUUGCCAAGGAUGUUUUCAUUAAUCAAGAACGAAAGUUAGGGGAUCGAAGACGAUCAGAUACCGUCGUAGUCUUAACCAUAAACUAUGCCGACUAGGGAUCGGAUGAUGUUAAUUUUUUAAUGACUCAUUCGGCGCCUUACG